UACGUAGGUGGCAAGCGUUGUCCGGAUUUAUUGGGUUUAAAGGGUGCGUAGGCGGCCUUAUAAGUCAGUGCUGAAAUACUCUAGCUUAACUAGAGGGGUGGCAUUGAUACUGUAGGGCUUGAGUAUAGUCGAGGUAGGCGGAAUUGACGGUGUAGCGGUGAAAUGCUUAGAUAUCGUCAAGAACACCGAUAGUGUAGACAGCUUACUAGGCUAUAACUGACGCUGAGGCACGAAAGUGUGGGGAUCAAACAGGAUUAGAUACCCUGGUAGUCCACACUGUAAACGUUGAUUACUCGCUGUUGGCGAUACACAGUCAGCGGCUUAGCGCAAGCGAUAAGUAAUCCACCUGGGGAGUACGCCGGCAACGGUGAA
Molecule: ribosomal RNA, 372 nt
Filed under: uncultured bacterium
Lineage: Bacteria
Description: bacterial SSU rRNA
Rfam family: Bacterial small subunit ribosomal RNA
Source: RNAcentral